This 858-nucleotide long non-coding RNA is filed under the name Astyanax mexicanus (Mexican tetra). RNAcentral's name for it is "lncRNA (ENSAMXG00005013164.1)". The record is from RNAcentral. Lineage: Eukaryota; Metazoa; Chordata; Actinopteri; Characiformes; Acestrorhamphidae.
AUGUGCUAUGCAACAACUGCCUGUGUGAUGAUGGUGUGUUCACCUAAGGGGUCUUUUUUUUAUUUGAGUGUCACUUUCUUCCUGUUCUAUUUGUACACGUGGCAACCUCCAUGUUGUAGUCACCAUUUUGGUACCAGCCAGGGCAUUGAGCCGACAUUGGUUGUUACAAUGGCGAGCAGAAGUGAGUUUUACAAGCAUGAACAUAAACGUCUUCUUAAAGAUGCUGCUGCAGUCUCAGCAGAAAAUAUGAGACCUGAUUUUCAAUGUUGGAACAGCUUUAGUAUAAAAGCUGGUGGUCGCUAUGGACAAUACCAGUUUAGAAACACAUGUGUUCUUGACUCACUCCUUGUUGGACUUCACAUUUGUCACAACAAACAUCCAAAAUGUCGAGAACUUAUUCAAAUGGAUGCUACACUUAAUGCAAUUAUGAUAUUUUUAGAUGCAAAAAAGUAUAAUGAGGCCAGAUAUCUUUGGUUGAUUUACUUAAAUCUAUUGAAUCCAAGUUGUAGAUUCAAAAUAUCUGAAAGAAUUGAUUUUAGGAGUGAGGUCAAGGACCAUUUACCAGUGUUUAGAGACCUGGUAUGUUCUAAAGUGCAUUUUAGUGGAGAUGAAACUCCACUUCAUGGAAUGGAUGAUAUUCUUCAUCAAAGCACCAAAAGAGCUUUUGAACCCUAUGGAAAUGUUAUGCUUUUGGGGAUAAAUUAUAAAGAGCCCAGUGUUAUACUGGUGUCCAAAGAUGAUGGUCUGGACACAGCUCCCCCAAUUUAUGUCACUGACACGUAUGGAAGGUAAGUAAUAAGAACAAUAUGUGUUAAGAAAAUGUUUAAUGUACAUGUUCACAUAAUUGUGCAGACGUGU